RNAcentral lists this ribosomal RNA (462 nucleotides) under uncultured Victivallaceae bacterium. RNAcentral's name for it is "bacterial SSU rRNA". It matches the Rfam family "Bacterial small subunit ribosomal RNA", at positions 29 to 505 of the family's 1533-position model. Lineage: Bacteria; Pseudomonadati; Lentisphaerota; Lentisphaeria; Victivallales; Victivallaceae. The record is from RNAcentral.
AACGAACGCUGGCGGCAUGGAUUAGGCAUGCAAGUCGAACGAGAAGCUCUAGCUUGCUAGAGUGGAUAGUGGCGAAAGGGUGAGUAACGCGUGAACAAUUUGCCCCUAAGCUCGGAAUAGCCUCGGGAAACUGGGAUUAAUACCGAAUGUGGUCUUCUGUCGCAUGACAGAUACACUAAAGAUUUAUCACUUAGGGAUGAGUUCGCGUUCCAUUAGCUAGUUGGUAGGGUAACGGCCUACCAAGGCGACGAUGGAUAGCUGGUCUGAGAGGAUGACCAGCCACACUGGGACUGAGACACUGCCCAGACUCCUACGGGAGGCUGCAGUCGAGAAUCUUCCGCAAUGGGCGAAAGCCUGACGGAGCAAUGCCGCGUGCAGGAUGAAGGCCCUUGGGUCGUAAACUGCUGUCACCAGGGAAGAACAUAAUGACGGUACCUGGAGAGGAAGCACCGGCUAACUACG